CACCUUACGAGCUGCAGCUGUGACAUGACUGAUGGCAGCUUAGACAAAACUUGAGUGGAUGUGGCCAAAGUUUUACUCCAGGAAAAUUUCCUCUGCGUUUUUAUUCCAUCUCUGGCAGUGCCUGAUUUUUCUGUGUGGUUGUUCAUCCUCUGGGCGUCCUGGCUAAUCAGCAGCAGUGUGAGCAUCACUUAACAUGGUCACACAUUAAACCUUAACACCAGGAGCAAAGCCAGUUGAGGUGGUUUGGACAUCUGAUCAGGAUGACUUCUGGGUGCCUCCAUGUGGAGGUCUUUAGGGCACAUCCAGGAGAGGAGGAGACCCCGGGGAAGACCCAGAACUCACUGGUGGGAUUGUACAACCUAGCACCUCGGGGACUGUACUGGACUAUCCAUGUGGACUCUCAUCUUUCUUCAGGACGACUCCAAGAAGGUUACAGUUGAGAUCAUCAGCUUAUGAGGACGACUAUGGGACAUUUGAUGCCAAAUGGUCUGACCUGAACCUCAUAGAGAAUCUCUAGGAAAAUGUCAAGAAGAAGGUGAGAGACAGCAGAGUCAACAAUACACGAGCUGAAGGCUGCUAUCAGAGCAACCUGGACUUCAUAACAACCCAGCAGUGCCACAGACUGAUCGCCUCUAUGCUGUGUUGCAUUGCUGCAGUAUUUUUUGCAAAAGGAGCAUCAACCAACUACUGAGUGUAUAUGAGCAUACGCUUCCCAAUGAGACUGCUGUUUUGUAAUAUUGUUAUAUUUUGAGAUAGUAGAUUUUUGUGAGUCGUAAUCAUCAAUAAUCAAACAAUAAAGGGUACCUGUCGUUGUAACUAGAUCAAAAAUAAUCCCCAACUUAGACUUGCUGCAAAAAAAAUGGGAGACUAUUUUUAGAGACCUACUUUUGCACAGCACUUACAAAAUGACACUAAUGUAAAUAUAUAACUGAAACAACAGGAUGCAUUCAAAUAAACACUGAAGAGGAUGUUAUCAACAAGUUCCUGGACGGGUUGAAGAGGAAUCACUGUUGUGUCACGCAAACUGGAUUAACCAGAUGAUAUUUGUGUUUGAAAAGUGUUAGCACUUGUAUAAACUAAACUCAAAAUAAAUCUGUUUGAAAGACAUUGA
Cheilinus undulatus (humphead wrasse) is the source of this 1111-nucleotide long non-coding RNA. RefSeq lists it as uncharacterized. NCBI's taxonomy places the organism in Eukaryota, Metazoa, Chordata, Actinopteri, Labriformes, Labridae. The transcript is spliced from 3 exons. The record is from RefSeq and is a predicted model, not a curated record.